AUAAAGAAUGUUAAAAAGUAAUAAGCUUGUGGAUUAAACAACCAGUGAUCUUUUGGUGCUGUUUCUCUUCUUUUAAACCAAACUCUACCGGAGUGACUAACCCUUUGUAUGAAGUUCUUCUGUCAAGGAAUUUCUGUUGUGUCUUUUGCUUCCUACUUAUUUUUGUAGAGCACAUUUAUUGAUUUUUUUAUGUUAUGGGCUGGCUUUGAUUUUAAUGUGUAAAUAUGUGCCCAAUUUCAAAGUUAAUGAAACAGACUUGUCCGUGCUGUGGAAUUCUCAGGUGUAGAGCAUAAUUGUAUAGUAUCUAAAUCGGCCCAAUCUACUUAACAUUUUUGAAGUACAAAUUUGCUCAAAGCCAAUCGGGUCGGGUUUUUAGUUAGAUUUUAACCCGGAUUUUUUUUUGACCCGACUCAUUGGCCAAUCACAUCUCUCGGAUCUUUUUAAAUAAGACUUUCCAAAAAAAAAUCAAAUAAUUUGACUAAAUAUUCGCUUAGUUACAUUCCUAAUCUACCAAAUCCUAACAGUAUGUAAAUGAUCCGCAUUAAUCGUUACAAUUAGAUCCUUCCUUAUUUGAAACUUUCCUACAUAAAAUCAAAAGCCAAUCGGAUCUUGCUAAUCCUACCAAAAAACAAAUUAAAACGACAUUAGUUAUUUGAUUAUGGGUCGCAAUCAAUAAUACAGAUUCUGAUAAUAUAACAGAUAUGUUAAUCACAACCUAUUUAAUUGCUAAAUAUAUUCGGCAAAUAUCUUUUGUUUCCUAAUAAAAUUGAACAAUAUAACAUCUACAUUCAAUAGCAACAAGAACAAUUGGAAAUUUUGCAUAAAUAAACGAUUUUACUCUUAUUUUCUAUAGCAUCUAUGUGGUAUAUUAUAUAACUUUUCGAUUUUAAAGAUUUUUAAUAGCAUAUUUCCAUUUACAGCUAGAAUUAAUAUUCGUAGAUAUCUUAAUUUCAUUGAUUUUUGGAACUAAUUCCAUAACAACCUUAAUUAUUAUUUAUUUAGUUUUCUAAUUCUAGGCAAUUUAUAAUUAACUCAAGAGAUUUUGCUUGCUCAAAAAGAUUUUGCGCAAAUGUAUCAUACCUAAACCUAAUCGUAUAUGUCCUCUAUAUAUAUCCAUUUCAUUUCCAAGAGAAAACAUCACUUCUAAACAAAGUUAAAUUUUUUUUCCAAAACACCUUCAAUUCUUUUCAUCCUAAAGUUACCUCUUUUUCAUUUUCCAUUCGUAUGGUUCUUCGUGACAUGAACAAAGAUUUGACUGGCGAUUCUGUCUUAGAAUCCUUAUAAUCUGAAAGCAAAAAGGAAUUCAGAGAGAUACUACAUAAUUAGUUUUAGCGGAUGAAAGGUGGUUCAAUCGAUUUCUAUCUAACUCUUUUACUAUCAUUCUUUUUCUACCAUUUCUCAAAAAAAAUUGACAUCUUGGUUUUGUUUUUCUGAUUUGUUUCUUCUCUAUUUGUAUCUUUGAAUUGUUAGGUUGAUAGGAUUGCAACAACCUAUAAACAACGCUAAACCAAUGAUAACUCCCUCAAGUUUUCAAUCAGCAAAACAAAUGGACUCAUCAACCUAUGUCAAUCAUCAAAACAAACAUCAGGACCAAUCAAACUAAACACAUGAAGCAUCAAGUAAGCCUAUCUGGAGAGGGCAAGCACGUAAAUAAUUCUCAUCGACAUAUUAAAUAACCAAUAUGAACUAUCACAUCACGAAAAGCUUUAUAGAUAUUUCCUAUUGACAAAGUUAAUGAAUAUCACCAAGACACCAACGAUCAACAACCAUUUCUUAAUAUAUCACAAAAAUGAAAUCAAUAAAAUCAGAGUCAAUGACUAACCAAAUCAUUCCAAAUUUCCCCUACUAUGCAUUCGACCCAUGACUGCAACGGAGAAGUGAUGUUCCUCUCACUGAGAUCGUUCUUCCUCGGUUGGUUUCUCCCGGCUGCGACUCCGCUUAAGAGUAUAAAAAAACUGAAUAUUAGUAAUCAGAAGCAUUAUUCCCGAUUCAUUUCCACAACGAUUACAAAAACCUAAAUGAGAUUUUUUUUUUUGACCAAGCAAAUUUGUAGAUUAGAAAUCAGAAGCAUUAUUUCCGAUUACAUUGAUUGACGUAUUAUACAAAUAUAUUUCCAGUUCUAACUGUUAUUCACAAUCAAUUUACGCUAUUGAUGAAAUUAAUUCGAUUAUUACUAAGCAAUAACUAUGAAAUUGUCUUACCUUUGAAUCGAGACAAAAUGAACAUUUAGAUCGGAUAGGUUGUUUUCUGGUCUUCAUGGGAUAAAUUGGAUCUUCGUUCUCGCCUAGAUUGUCUUCAAUUGAAUUGUUCUUCAUCAUUUUGCAAUCACAUCUUCGAAUCAAAACCUCAGCGUGUAGUUGGAGUCGAACUAAGAUCUCGGGAAAUUUGGGUUUGGAUCUGGAGUUGUUGAACAGGUUCUUCGCUAAUUUUCAAUGCACAUGUCUAAUCGAACAAGAAAAUUGCAGAUUCUUGAAGGUUUUCAAAAGAGAUUGAAAAAGACAGAAGAAGAUGAAAGAGAUUUGUUCGGUUCUUUGUUUUCAUUGUUUUCUCAGGUAAAAAAAAAUAUUAUCUAUACCCUUUAUUCGAUAUAAUUAAUUGAAAAAUAUAGAAAUUUAAUUUGUCUAAGUAUUUUUUUUAUCCUUUCUAUUUAUUUAUUUUGUUACACUUAAGGACAUACAUAUAAAUUAAAUAAAUAAGUAAAUUUCCUACAAAAAAUUACAUUUACCACAUUUAUUUUCUUUUGUCCAAUAAACCAGUUUAUAUCAAGUGUGAAAUAUUAAUUUAAAUAAUUAAUUGAGCUAUUAUAUAGGAAACAAAAAAAAAUUCCUAACCAACCAAUAAUAAACUAUAUAAAUAAAAGAAUAUUAUUUUAAACUGAUAAAUAAUACAUAUGUAAAUUUAUACCCGCGGUACAUUGUGACUUAAAUAAAAUAUGUGUGUUUUAUAUCUAAUUGUUUAUAAAUGAAACCUUCAACAUACUUACCGUAACCUAUAAAUAUAAAUCUUUUUAAAUAAAAGUAUUAUUGAAAAGAAAAAUAAUAAAAUAAUGUUUAAUUUUAUGCGACGGGUUAUACGGUAUGACAGGUUUAGUUCGAUUAAUUCGGAACGGUAUACCACGGGUAAAAAUCCUAAAAUUAACAAUCAAAAUACAAUUAUACAAUUUUAAACACAAAACAAAACAAAUACAACUUAAAUUUAAAAAUUGAAGUUAAAAAAAAAAUCAAACCGCGGUAUACAACAAAAAAUAUUAUACACAAUAAAUUCAUCAAUUUAUAAAAGAAAAAUCAAAUAAUUAACCCGCGGUAUACCGCGGGUCAUAUCCUAGUCGAUCGACCAAUUAUAACUGGAUACAGAGAGUAAAUAUCACCCUGAAAAAAAGAAAGAACGAAUAAAUACAGGAUACAGUAGAGGAUAUGACGUUAGCUAAUUCGAGUCCAAGUGGGAUUAGGAUUAUGAUUUUGAAUAUCCAUGUUUAUAUAUAUAUAUAUAUAUAUAUAUAUAUAAACCGUUCUCUGGAAGUAAAAAUCCUCUCUUCAUCAGAGAAAAAUAAACCAAAAGCCUACCUACGUACACGCCUCUUUUGCUAGAAGCCUAGAACGACGACGAUGCCUAAAAGAAAGAGACUCAUUGAUCACAUUAUCAGUACGACGACUAAACGAGCUUGGUAGAAAUACCCCAAGAGCAGAAAUCUCGAGACCCAAGUAUCCUGGUUUGCUAUCCUCGUCUUGAAGACGACACAAAAGCUUCUCUUAUGACAUUGAGUUUGGGAGCAGCGUCAGUUUCGUUUGAGAACCAUACUCAAUACCCUGUCCAAUCAACGACUAUACUAACCCGUUUAAGAAAUACACAGAGUUGCGACGGUCUGACUUGCAUAUAUUCAGAAACCUUUAUGUAUGUGCUCGAUCCCGCAACUAGAUGGUACCGUAGACUACCCGAGGCGAGAUUUCAAGCACUGUAUUGUGAUACAACGAACCGGGUUUCAGAGCCUUUGCUAGGAUUCGGUAAAGACAACAUCAAAGGAAUAUACAAGUUGGUUUGGUUGUAUAACUCUGAUUGUGUAGACCUAGACGGCCAAACUAAUACAUGCGAGGUUUUCUCUUUCAACAACAACAAAGGUAGGACGUGAUUGUUUCCUCUCCUCAUCCAAUACUACAUCAUAAAGUCCCGGCUGAUCCCUCCAUUGGUUUAUUGAUGCCGUCACAGAAACACAAGUUUUAUCUUUCGAUCUUCACACUGAAACUUUUAAGGUAAUGGCCAACAUACCGGUUGGCGAUGCACCUCAUGAGCGGAUCGCGAUGUGCACCUUAAAUGACCGCCUAUGCUUAUCGGAAGAUAAGGGAGACACACAAACUAUAUGGUCGUUAAAUCAAGCCAAUAUGACAUGGCACAAAACUUACUCCGUGCAACUCUCUCUUGUAUUGAAGAGGAAUAUCUUAACUCAUGGCCACCGAUCACAUCCCUUUUCAACAACAGGUUAUUGCUUUAUGAUUGCAGCGACGACGAGCCCAAGAUGGUGGUAUACAAUUAUCGAUUAAAUUCAUAUGGUGAAAUUUUCACCGCUCAAUAUUUGAUAUGUGGCAUUUCUUAUUCUGAAAGCUUAAUCACUCUUCCAUAAACUCUUUUAACUUUAAUUUUUAUUUUUAUUUUAGCAUAUAGCAGUUUAAUUAUUGUCUAGUAAAUUUCAUUGGUAUGUUGACAGCAAAUCCUCUUUUUAUAUAUACUUUAAUUUUUUCUUCACAGAACUCCAUUAUUUAGAAGGCAUACCUCUUUGCACUUUUUUUUUUUCUUUUUUUAUGCAAUUUCCAUCUCUUGGUUUAGUUCAAAUCUCAUCCUGAUUCUUAUGAAGGAUACGUUCAUAUGGACUUCUUUGCUCUCGUCUACAAUAGUAACUAGGAAGCGAAGCUUUGACCUCACAGAAUUCAAUAUUUCAGUCAGCGUGUUUUGCAACUACCUAGUUAUAUCGUGAAUUAUAAGAACAUCUUCAAACUUAAAAUAAUUUCUGUUAAUAAAUAAAGAGUUAUGAAAAUAUUGAAUAGUUUUGGCAGCCAUGAGGACUUCAAAAAGAAUAAAAUAAUGAAAAUAUCAAACUUACACUUAAAAUAAUCACAUCUACAGUUUUCAGAGAUUUGCUCUGAGGACUUCAAAAAGAAUAGAAGACAUCUCUAAACUUCGUUUGUGUCUUAAUCUUUAGCACAAGAAUAUAAUGUGUAUCUAUUGAAUUAUGAACUAAGGACCAAAACCUAAUGAUCAAGACUUUGUGUUUAUAAGAACAACUCUUCUUAUUACCUUUGAAACUUACUCAAAACAAAGGUUACACAAUCUCUCUUAAUCUCAAAACAACUCAUAGGGUUACCACAAACUAGGUACCUCUAUUUAUACAAAACCAAAAGUCCUAAACACACUAGGAUUUGAUAACUCCUAACCUAGCUAAAUCUUAUCCCAAAUCUAUUAACUAAACCGACUUAUUUAGUUUAAUCUUGGGCCUUAAGUCUUCUUAAGGUUAAUCAAGUUUGCACAACAUUCUCCCCUUCAAACUUGAUAUCUCCAAUCUUCACAUCAUGAACACCUGUAAGCUCCCUCAUUUCUUUGAACUUAAUCCGUCCCAAUGCCUUAGUUAAAAUGUCUGCCUUCUGUGCAUCCCCGGGAACAUGUUCUAGCUCAAUUUGAUCAUUCUCAACACAUUCCCUAAUAAAAUGAUACCUUUUAUGAAUAUGUUUACUUCUGCCGUGAAACACAGGAUUCUUAGCAAGUGCUAUAGCGGAUUUGUUAUCUAUCCGGAGUAAUACUUUGUCACAUGUUUCUCCCAUAACCUCACUCAGAAGAUCCUGCAACCAUAUCGCCUGUUUUGCUGCUUCUGUUGCAGCCAUGAACUCUGCUUCGCAAGAUGAUAAGGCUACUGUGUUCUGUUUCUGCGUACACCAUGUAAUGGGACAGUUAUGUAGAUAGAAAAUGUGACCUGUAGUGCUUCUACCAUCGUCCUCAUCUACAUUAUGACUGCUAUCACUAUAGCCUAGGAGUCUUGUUUCAGGUUUAGGUUCUGUCUUUCUAGCAAAUGUUAAACCAUAACCUGUUGUUCCUUUCAAAUAUCUGAGAAUUUGCUUGAGUGCUGUACCAUGAGAUUCUUUGGGCUCAUGCAUGUAUCUGCUUAAUACACCAACACAAAAAGAGAGAUCUGGCCUAGUAUGUAGCAAGUAUCUCAAACAUCCAAUACUUCUCCUAUACUCUGUUUCAUCAAUAUUUUUUUCUUCUGAUGCCUUGCUUAGUUUCAGAUUUGCAUUCAUUGGUGAGUGAACCGCAUUACAUCCUUCCAUUCUGGUUUCACUUAGUAUCUUAGAUGCAUACCUCUCUUGUUUCAGAGUAAUGCCUCCUGCAUGUUGAUGUACCUCUAUACCUAGAUAAUAAGUCAAUUUUCCCAAAUCGCUCAUUUCAAACUUUGUUGCCAUGCCCCUUUUAAACUCAAGUAUCACAUCCAAGUUUGAACCCGUGAUUAACAGAUCAUCUACAUACACAACAACAAUGAGAAGAUGAUCUUUAUCCUGUUUAUGGUAUAAGGAUGGUUCUUUAGAACAUUUGAUAAACUUCAAUUCCUUAAGAAUAGAGUUUAGUUUAUUGUUCCAAGCUCUUGGAGCUUGUUUUAAACCAUAUAGAGCCUUAUGUAAUUUGUAAACCUUGGUUUCACUCCCUUUUAUCUCAAAUCCCUCUGGCUGUACAACAAACACAACUUCUUUCAACUCUCCAUGGAGAAAUGCAGUCUUUACAUCUAAGUGAUGAACCUCCCAUCCAUUUGACGCAGCUAAAGCAAGGAUAAACCUAAUAGUCUCAAUGCGUGCUACUGGUGCAAACACUUCUUCAAAGUCAACUCCAUACCUUUGAACAUAUCCUUUGGCCACAAGGCGUGCCUUGUAUUUGUUUAUGCUUCCAUCAGAGUUGCGUUUUAUUUUAAAAACCCAUUUUAGACCAAUUGCUUUUGCUCCCUUUGGAAGAUCUACUAGACUCCAAGUUUUGUUCUUGUUUAUUGAACUGAUUUCCUCAUCACAAGCAUCUCUCCAUUCUUUUAACUCCUUUGCUUCUUUAUAGUCCCAUGGUUCUUCAUUUAAUGUUAGCAAGAGAUGCUCAAUUAUUUCAUAUUCAGCUUCAGCUAAGAGUACAUAGUCAUUUAGAUACCCUGGUUUAUGGCUCUGUCUCUCAGAUCGUCUUAGGACUGGUUGCAUUGGGGCCUGUUCUUGGUUUUCAAUUUCUUCUAAAGAUGUUUCAGAAGUAUUUUCAGAGAAAUCAUUCUCAUUAUCUAAGGCUUCAUUAGUAUUUUCAUUUUCUUCUACUCCUGUUUCUUCUGUUCUGUUUUCUGUUUCUGAAGCUUCUUCUCUUAGACCAUGAUUUCCGUAUUCUCCAAGUCUGAGUUUGAACAUUCCAGGAACAUUAUCACUCUCAUCUUUUCCUGAAUGAUUCCAAUUCCAACUUCUUUUCUCAUCAAAGACUACGUCUCUACUUACCACAAUUCUUCUUUUUGAUGGAUCCAACAAUCUAUAUGCUUUGGAUCCAGGUUCUGUUCCAAGAUGGACUAAGGCUUUUGAUCGGUCAUCAAGUUUCUUCAAGUGCUGUGUUUCAAUCUUUGCAUAACAAAUACAUCCGAAUACUUUCAAAUGUAUGAUGUUUGGUUUCUUUCCUUUAAAUGCUUCAUAUGGAGUCUUAUCUUUUAAAGUUCUUGUUGCCACUCUGUUUAUGAGGUAAGUAGCAUGUCUCACUGCCUCUCCCCAUAGAUGAUUUGGCAUUUUCAUAUGCUUUAGAAUGCUCCUAGUCAUCUCAAGUAAAGUUCUAUUCCUUCUUUCUACUACACCAUUCUGUUGUGGUGAGUAUGGAGCUGUUAAAUGUCUCUGAAUACCUGAAUUAUCACAGAAACUUUGAAAUUCAUGAGAGGUAAAUUCUCCACCUCUAUCUGUUCUGAAGGUCUUUAUUCUUGUUCCAGUGUCCUGCUCGAUUAGACCUUUGAAUUUUUUAAACUUUUCAAAUGCUUCACUUUUCUCCUUCAGAAGCAAUGACCACAUAUAUCUGGAGUAAUCAUCUAUUAGCACAAAGAUAUACUUGUUUUGUGCGGCUGUGGAGGGUGUAAUUGGUCCACACAAGUCUCCAUGUAUGAGUUCCAAUAUGUGUGAAGCUCUGUAUGAUGUAGCCUGAGGAAAACUUUGUCUUACUUGUUUUCCUAGUAAGCAUGAAGAACAUGUUUCUUUUUCAACUGUUAUACUAGGUAAACCAAUGACUAACUCUUUACUUAUCAUAGACUUUAUAGUAUCUAACCCUAUGUGUCCUAAUCUUGCAUGCCAUUUUGCUGAGUCACUAACUUCUUCUAUUUGUAAACAUUUUGUUGGUUUAACUUUCAUAAGAACCUUGUACAGUCUGUUCUUUGAUCUCUUAGCAUUUACAAGUAGUCUGCCUUGUUGGUCAUUUAUUGUUAGUUGCUCAUCUUUCAUCCUAAUAUCACAGCCUGCUUCUGUGGCCUGUCCGAGACUUAUGAUACUGCUUCUUAGAUUAGGUAUAUAGUACACAUCUGCAAGUACUUUUCUUUCACCAUCCUUGCUUACAAAGAGAAUUGAUCCUUUUCCUUUAAUAUCUAUGCAUGAAUCAUCUCCAAAUCUCACUUUUCCUGUGAUUGUUUCAUCAAGUUUAGAGAAAUACUCUUUGUUUCCUGUCAUGUGGUUGCUUGCACCAUUAUCUAAGUACCAGGUAUUGUCACCAUCCUUCUGAAUCUCAAAUUUGUCUGGCUUUACAUUUUUUUCGUUUAAGUAGACUAUUUCAUGCAUCAUUAGUCUAUCAGCUUCUUGAGUUUCGUCUUCAUCAUUCUCCAGUGUUUCUUGGAGUUUUAGUAGUCUAUCAGGACAGUUUGAAGCAUAGUGUCCAUUCUUAUCACAUCUGUAACAUAUGACUUUAGUUUUAUCUUUUCCUUGUCUAACAGAACCAUUCUGUUGAGUACCAAAUCGUCCUCUGCCUCUGCCUCUGAAACUAGAUCCUCGGCCUCUUCCUGAACCAUAGUUUUCUUGAUAGGUUUGUGAUUCUGAGUUAGCAUACAUGAGCUUUCCUUGAUCAUCAUGUUGAUCUUCUUCAUCACAUACUCUGUCUUCAUAUACUUUUAGUCUUCCGACUAUUUCUUCAAAACUUGUUGUCUUUAAAUCGAGUACUUGUUCAAGAGAAGCAACUAUGUGAAUGUAUUUCUUACGAGGUACACUUUUAAGAAAUUUCUUGACAAGUUUUGGUUCCUCAAUGUUUUCCCCUAAUGUAACUGCUUUUGUUGAUAUUUCAGAAAGUUUUCCUGCAAAUUCUUCUAUUGUCUCUGUUUCUUUCAUCUUUAGUUUAUCGAAUUCAGCCAUUAGAGUUUGUAAUCUUGCUUCUUUUACCCUUUCAGCACCUAGGUUUCUUGUUUUGAUCGCAUUCCAGACUUCUUUUGCAGUUUCAUAAUCUCCCACUCGAAGAAUCAUUGCUUCUGGUAUAGAUUGAAACAAGAGAACCUUAGCUAAAUCAUUCUUUUCUACAUCGUCGUUUCCUGGUUCUAUUGUAUCCCAAACUUUAUGAACCCUAAGUACUCCUCUCAUUCGCAUGUUCCAUGCAGUGUAGUUUGAUGUGCUAAGCAUCGGGCACUGUAUAGAAGAACUAGUCUCCUUGUUCCUAGCUGGAACCGGGAUUAUAUCAGCCAUGCUUCACCUUUAACGAACUCUGUUCGUAGCGUAUAAAGCUUUCUUUUAGAUCCUAGGUUACUCAAUCCAAGAGUAUGGCUCUGAUACCAAAUAUUGAAUUAUGAACUAAGGACCAAAACCUAAUGAUCAAGACUUUGUGUUUAUAAGAACAACUCUUCUUAUUACCUUUGAAACUUACUCAAAACAAAGGUUACACAAUCUCUCUUAAUCUCAAAACAACUCAUAGGGUUACCACAAACUAGGUACCUCUAUUUAUACAAAACCAAAAGUCCUAAACACACUAGGAUUUGAUAACUCCUAACCUAGCUAAAUCUUAUCCCAAAUCUAUUAACUAAACCGACUUAUUUAGUUUAAUCUUGGGCCUUAAGUCUUCUUAAGGUUAAUCAAGUUUGCACAACAGUAUCAUUUUGCUUUCUCUUUCGUGUUGCACGACCGUAUUAAAUUGUGGAUUUUUUAUUGUGCCCGAAUAGCGUGGAUGUGUUUGGUGUAGAGCAUAAAUUUCUAAAAUUACAUCUAAACUUGCGCAAUAAAUUUAUAAAUUACCAGUUGCGAUGAUGAGACUAUAAGACAAAUGCUAAUUGCUUGGGUAAGCAAACCGAAUCAAACCAAAUUGAAUUCAUCGAUAUGAUUCAUAUCAUAUUAUCGGAAUCAUAUGAACCAUAAUUUGAAUGGUAUCAUUUUUUAUGCUUAGAAAUUAUCUGAACCAAACCCAAGUUAUAUAAAACCGAUAAACAAGAUUUGAACAUCAUAUUCAUUUGAGAAACAAAUAUUCUUUACCAUUUGCAUUAUAGAUAUAAAUAUCUCCCUAAAAGAAAAAAAAAAGAAAGAAGAAAGAAACGUGUAACAACAAUAUUCUAAACGAAAGAAGAAGAAAAAGUGAAAAAGGAAAUGAAAAGGAUAUAAUGCUAUUGGCUUUGUGAAACUAAAGACAAUGACUAAGCAUAGUCAUUUAGUUAGGCAUUUACGACCGUCGAAGAAGAAGACAUCAAAUCAAACAUGGUCCCUUAAAAUAAUAAGAGGCCCAAAAUCACAUCUACAAUUUUUAUGGUGAUGAAAAUCGAUUUACGCCAAAUUUAGCUGGUUGUUGAAAGGUGUUUGAUAUUUUGGAGUUUAAAUGAGGAUGGAAUCUUUGCCCAUCAAGACGUUUCUUUAAGCAAGAAGAGCCGUGGGUUUGAAGAUAUAAAUCAAUUGUUUAAAGAGAAAAUUGUUUAGUGUUAAAAAAAAAAAAAAAAAAAAAUUGUUUUUUUAAAAAAAAAUAAAAAUAAAAACCAUUAUUAUGAGAAUAUUGUGCCAAUGACAUCUCUAGAAAAAGAGACAUUUUUCUCUCUCACACUUUAAGGAUACAACAACAAUCUCAAUUUCGUUCCUUCAAAAAAAAAAAAUUUCGUUUUGUUUUUUUUUUUUCUUUCGAAAGCAAACAUUUUUGCGAAUCAAUAUAAACUAAAAAUAACAAAACAAUAAAUAGCAGAGUGACGAUUCUUUCUCUCUGCCUCCUUCUCGAUUUUUGAUUCGCUCACCGGCGGAGCAAUCAGAUAUGGCGGCGGCGACGACGACGGAAUCGAGGAACCAGAUUCCGCCGUACAUGAAAGCAGUCUCAGGUUCACUAGGCGGAGUCGUCGAGGCUUGUUGUCUCCAACCAAUCGACGUAAUCAAAACGCGUCUGCAGCUAGAUCGCGUCGGCGCUUACAAAGGAAUCGCGCACUGUGGUUCAACGGUGGUUCGAACCGAAGGAGUUCGUGCUCUUUGGAAAGGUUUAACGCCGUUCGCUACUCAUCUCACGCUUAAGUACACGCUUCGGAUGGGAUCCAACGCCAUGUUUCAAACCGCGUUUAAGGAUUCCGAGACCGGAAAAGUUAGCAAUCGUGGCCGUUUGCUUUCCGGAUUCGGCGCCGGCGUUCUUGAAGCUCUCGCCAUUGUUACACCCUUUGAGGUAAAGCUUUUGGUUUGUUGCCUUUUCGAUUACUUCACGAGACAAAAGCUCUGCCGAAAUAACAUUAAUAUUUUAUUAGAUUAGGAAUCGAAUUAAACUAUUGUGUAAUCAUUAGUUAGUUGGGUCAACGGUUUGGUGUAAUUGAAAUUGUUAGAUUAUUCUUGCACCAGAAGAAAAUCAUCUCUGUUCAACAAUAAAUUAGUAUAUUUUAGUCAGAGAAAUUAAAAUUAUUUGUUCAGAUCUGUUUUGAUGCUUUUGGUCCCAUUGUUCAUGACAAUUCUUGAUUUGGAGAAUCGUGUUCUUAAUAAUCAUUUUGUAGAAUCAUUUUGAGUCUUUGACUUGUUUCAUGUAGUUCUUGUUCUUAUGUGGUUAGAGAGAUAAGGUUUGAUUCUCUUCAGUAUGUUCAUGACAUGGAUUCAAGAGUUCUUGCAUAUCAAAUGAGUAUUUUCACUCAAAUAAAACACUGUUGAGUUCUGUUUUUUUGCUUUCUAUAAAUCUCUAGGUGGUGAAAAUUAGACUUCAGCAACAGAAAGGAUUAAGUCCUGAGCUCUUCAAGUACAAAGGACCAAUACAUUGUGCUAGAACCAUUGUGAGAGAAGAAAGCAUACUUGGGUUAUGGUCAGGUGCAGCACCAACGGUUAUGAGAAACGGCACCAACCAAGCUGUAAUGUUCACAGCGAAAAACGCAUUUGACAUACUUUUGUGGAACAAACAUGAAGGCGAUGGUAAAGUCUUGCAGCCAUGGCAGUCAAUGAUCUCAGGGUUUUUAGCUGGAACCGCAGGUCCGUUCUGCACCGGACCAUUUGAUGUGGUGAAGACGAGGCUGAUGGCUCAGAGCAGAGACAGUGAAGGUGGGAUUAGAUAUAAAGGGAUGGUUCAUGCCAUUAGAACAAUUUAUGCAGAGGAAGGAUUAGUGGCUUUAUGGAGAGGGUUAUUGCCGAGGCUAAUGAGGAUUCCACCGGGACAAGCCAUUAUGUGGGCUGUUGCUGAUCAAGUCACUGGUCUUUAUGAAAUGAGAUAUCUUCGGAAUGCUACUUUAUAGAGAGACACUUUUUCUUUUUAAAAAGCAGUGUUUCUAGUUGCUUUAUUUCUGAAAAUUCUUGGUAGGAUUUGGAUUAGAACAAGAAAAAUAAAAGUAAUCGCACAUUUGGUAACGAUUUUACUAUAAUCAAAUUUUGGGAGUUCCUUUUUUGUUGUUGUUUAAAUAAGUUUACUACAACAAAAGCAUCGCAAAUAACUGAUAUAUGUACUUUGCCAACAGUGUCAGGCAAAUUCAGUUUGGCACUCUUUAAAAAUUGCUACGUCCAUAUUAGUUUUGGGCUUGGGUCAUUAUUUAUGGGCUACGUUUGGAACAUAGAGGCCCACAUCUUUCAACCGCACUUGCCAAUUCCUUUAUAUAUAUAAAAUGCAAACGCAGCUUUAGAGCUAUAAGCAAAAAAACCCUAGUUAGCCGCCGCCAUCUUUACCAUCAUCAUCAUCGCAACCUCUCCUUUUUAUAGAUGCUUCUGUUUAGAGUUUGUCAACUAUCUUCCUCUUGUUAGCAAACAAACGUUUUCUUUUUAUUUUUUUUGUUUGGUCUUUUAAAAGCUCUUUUUGCAAUUUAAUUUGUUCCUAAUGAGGAUUACAUAUCAAAAGCUAUGGAUCUGUUUAUCAGUUCCAUAUGAUGCUAUAUUGUCAUAGUUACUCUGAUGGGAAAUUCUUUUUGUUUUUAUUUUAAUAUCAUCAAAUCAUAAUAGUUUUUUUGUUUUAAAUAAUAGAUAGGCAACUUUUUGCCGAGUGAAUCGAACAUCGAUAUCUCUCUUUUUCCCAGUUGCCUAAAUCCAUGUAAUUGGCUGCGUGAGGAAUUUUUUUGAUCUGUUAUUUAAUUCUCGAUAUAACCGAUCUUUUCCUCUUUGCUGCUACAUUUAUCUCUUUUUUUUUUGUAGUUUAUGAUUUAAGGGUUUGAAUUCGUAGGGAAGCCUCUUAAUCUAUGUUCUCAAUGUUUAGUUUGAUUAUGGAGGCGUGACAAUUAAUUCCAUAUCGAUUCUAGUAGCUUUGGUGAAGAUGUAGUAUAGUGAAUGAUCCUUUUAUGCCCUCACCGUGUUAAACAAUUUGAAGUAAUUUCUUUGAUAAGAGUGAUAAGAAUGUUUGAAAUUUGUAAUUUGCAUAAGUUUGAAGUUAUAUGCACUAGAAGUGCAUAACCUUGUUUCGUAGAAAUUCGUUAAGACAAACAAACAGUUCCCAUUACUCAUGUCAAUUCUAGUGAUUACAGAAUCACACAUUAAUACAAUCAAUAGCGCAGAUUUUAUACUGUUGUUAUUUGUAAAUGGGCUAUCUGCUAUAUUAUGUAGAAACCUUGAUAGUUGGUUGAUUCGUUUAUGCUCAAGGAUCUGCUUUAUACUGUUGACCGUAGAGAUAGUAAUGUUUGAAAUUUGUUGGUCUUCUAUCACCUAACCUUCAGGCCGAGUAAUUUGGGUCUCAUUUGGGCCGAGACUACAGAAUCAUGCUUAAUUUGGGUUUCAUUUGGGCCCAAAGCCCCAAAGUGUUCUCAAACGAGAUACAUUUUAACUGUUUCUUCACCCGCGUCACGGAUUAUCAUAAUUCUUGAAACGAGCCUCUGAACUACAUAUGCAAUCAAUAUAAAUCACUACAUUUCACCUUUUAAUGGACUAAAGAAUUCUCGGU
Molecule: long non-coding RNA, 14277 nt
Filed under: Arabidopsis lyrata
Lineage: Eukaryota; Viridiplantae; Streptophyta; Magnoliopsida; Brassicales; Brassicaceae
Description: long non-coding RNA (ALYR_LNC001135)
Rfam family: Small nucleolar RNA snoR144 (bases 13372-13519)
Source: RNAcentral